This 21-nucleotide small RNA is filed under the name Karenia brevis. RNAcentral describes it as "trans-spliced leader sequence SL". The record is from RNAcentral. Lineage: Eukaryota; Dinophyceae; Gymnodiniales; Kareniaceae.
CCUUAGCCAUUUUGGCUCAAG